GUGAGUAGUUCUAGAGUUUGAUCCUGGCUCAGGAUGAACGCUGGCGGCGUGCCUAACACAUGCAAGUCGAGCGGAGUUUUAGAAAAGCUUGCUUUUCGAAGAACUUAGCGGCGGACGGGUGAGGAACACGUGGGUAAUCUGCCCUACACAAGAGGAUAACAACAAGAAAUUGUUGCUAAUACUCUAUAAACUCUUAGUAUGGCAUCAUACAUAGAGAAAAGAUUUAUCGGUGUAGGAGGGGCCCGCGGCUGAUUAGCUAGUUGGAGAGGUAACGGCUCACCAAGGCGACGAUCAGUAGCCGACCUGAGAGGGUGAUCGGCCACAUUGGAACUGAGACACGGUCCAA
RNAcentral lists this ribosomal RNA (346 nucleotides) under uncultured bacterium. RNAcentral describes it as "bacterial SSU rRNA". It matches the Rfam family "Bacterial small subunit ribosomal RNA", at positions 1 to 334 of the family's 1533-position model. The record is from RNAcentral.